Oncorhynchus tshawytscha (Chinook salmon) is the source of this 387-nucleotide long non-coding RNA. Lineage: Eukaryota; Metazoa; Chordata; Actinopteri; Salmoniformes; Salmonidae. The record is from Ensembl.
CAUCUCUAAGCAUUAAGAAGGAAAGAAAUUCAACAGAUUAACCUUAAACAAGGCACACUUGUUAAUUGAAAUUCCAGGAGGACGUGCAGGGAUGAGACCCAUGGACCACAGUGUGCUGAAAUGUCUCUUCUCCCUAUUCUUGCUAACAGUAUCUGCAUCAGGCACUCUAUCCAACGCAGCAGUUACUACUAUCCAACCACUAUCAAAUACAGCCAGUGCAUCCCAACCAGCCAACACAGCCACUUCAUCCAGUGCAACCACACCAUCCUGUUUGACCCGUCGAUGUCUGGCCAGCAUGCUGAUUGCGAAAGAAGCUCGGAGUCCGCCACAGUCUCCACGGUGCAUCUCAAUUAUCCGUGUGCCGUCAAUCGUGUACGAAACUCUGUC